UAAAGAGUGUGUGGUGGAUGCCUAGACUUUGUAUGGCGAUGAAGGACGCAGCGGUCGGCGAAACGCUUCGGGGAGGUGACGAGCAACCUUUGAUCCGGAGAUUUCUGAAUGGGGAAACCUUAUGCGGGUGACCGUAUAGCACGCAGAGUAUUUUGCGUGUGCAUACCUCGGGAAGUGAAACAUCUCAGUACCGAGAGGAAAAGAAAACAAUGUGACGUAUGUCAUAACAUUCCCCAAGUAGCGGCGAGCGAAAAGGGAACAGCCCAAACCGGAGCGUGCUUGCACGAUCCGGGGUUGUAAGGCAGUGAGUCUCGUUUUACGAGAAAAGUUACAAAAUGUAUGUAUAGAAAAAGUUGUUGGAAACCAACACCAUAGUGGGUGAUAGUCCCGUAUUCGAAAUACAUAUAUCUUUUUAUCACUGUUCUUGAGUACUUCAAGACACGAAUAGCUUGAAGGAAUCCACCAGAACUAACUGGUAAGGCUAAAUACAUUGUAGAGACCGAUAGUGAACUAGUACCGUGAGGGAAAGGUGAAAAGUACUCCGAAAGGAGGGUGAAAUAGUACUGAAACCAUAUGCUUACAAGGAGUCGGAGCGGGUAUUUAUAUCCGUCACGGCGUGCCUAUUGAAGAAUGAGCCAACGAGUUUAUGUGUGCGGCUUGGCUAAGGAGUACAGCUCCGGAGCCAUAGCGAAAGCAAGUGUUAAUAGCGCGUCUGCCCCUCGGGGCGGUCGUACACAUAAGACCCGAAGCCAGGUGAGCUAUCCAUGAGCAGGGUGAAGUUUGACGAAAGUCAGAUGGAGGCCCGAACCGGUAGAUCGUACAACGUCUUCGGAUGACUUGUGGAUUGGAGUGAAAAGCUAAUCGAACCUGGUAAUAGCUGGUUCUCUCCGAAAUAGCUUUAGGGUUAGCGUCAUGUGAUCCCCUUGGGGGUAGAGCACUGGAAGGUUUCGACAGGGAGCAAUCUCGCGACACCUAUCAAACUCCGAAUACCAAUGGUCAAGUAGCGUGGCAGUUAGUCUACGGGGGCUAAGCUCCGUUAGACAAAAGGGAAACAGCCCAGAUCUCUAAUUAAGGUCCCUAAAUAUAUACUAAGUACAUACUAAGGAUGUGAGAUUUCUCUGACAAUGAGGAAGUUGGCUUAGAAGCAGCCAUCUUUUAAAGAAAGCGUAACAGCUCACUCAUCAAGAGAUCUCGCGCCGCAGAUAAUCGGGGUUAAGCACAUUACCGAAUUUGAGGGCUUGUGAGUUUCAUAAAGGAAGUAACAGUUUCUGCAACUUCUCCCUGGGGAUACCGUUAAAAUAAAAAAUCAUAAAGAGUUCGCCGCGUAUUAACAACACAUGGAAGCAUCUCUUUAAGUCAAGUCGUCUUUAACUUAAGAAAACAUGACGUUGAUGAUUUUAUAUUUGGUAUCUCCGGGGAAACCAAUUGAUUGUUGCAGUAGUAAUUUCUUCCUUCUUUUAUGAAACUCAUAAGCGGUAGGAGAGUAUUCCACUCUCGCUGUGAAGGCAAAGACGUGAGUCAUGCUGGAGCGUGUGGAAGUAAGAAUGUUGGCACAAGUAACCGCAAGUGGGGUGAGAUCCCCCACCGCCGAAACACUAAGGUUUCCUGGGCAACGUUGAUCGUCCCAGGGUUAGUCGGGGCCUAAGGCAAUGACGAGAGUCGCAGCCGAUGGACAUAUGAUUAAUAUUUCAUAACUUCUUGUAUAUUCGAUGGAGGGACGAAGAGUAGUAUCGUGGGCCACUUAUUGGAUUGUGGUAUGCAUGUCGCGCAUGAGGGAUAGGUAAAUCCGUUCCUCACAACUGUCAGGCAUGUGUCGUGUGAGGGUUCGCCCGAGCGAAGUCACGAGAGCACACUUCCGAGAAAAGCUUCUAAGAUUAGUAUGCAAGAACCCGUACCGUAAACCGACACAGGUAGUGAGGUCGAGAAGACCAAGGCGAACGAGUGAGAGAUCCCCAAGGAACUCGGCAAAAAAGCAGCCGUAACUUCGGAAUAAGGCUUCCCCUUCGCAAGAAGGGGCGCAGCGAAAGUAUUCCUGGCAACUGUUUAUCAAAAACACAGCUCCCUGCGAACUCGUAAGAGGAUGUAUAGGGGGUGACACCUGACCAAUGCCAGAAGGUCAACUAAGGUUGGUGCAAUGUCGCAAGAUGUUGUGCUGGACUUUAUAAGCCCUGGUGAAUGUCGGCGAUAACUAUAAUCGUCCUAAGGUUUGGCACAUAACUCGAAAGGGUGGUGUGCCAAAGGAUUGGGACGGUUGUAGAAAAAAUGUAAACAGAAGCGCAAGUUACCUUACCUACAGUAAUGUAGGCAUAAUCCAAACAUGACUAUCGAGAGACCAGCGUCAUGCGCCUCGAAAGAGGAUGAAGAUAGAGUCCAGAAUAGAGGAAUUUCUGAGCGUAAUUCCUUGUCAGGUAAGAAUAUUGCCUGUCCUGAUGGCGACAUCAGGAACAAAUUCGGCUAUAACGGUGAAGCCUUCGUUCUGCAUAUGCAGAGAAAGGUAAUACCGUGGGAAGUCGUAAUUGACCCCGUAUCGACUUUGGUCACCGCCAUCCAGCGGCGACCAGGAUGGAGUGUUACAAUGAUAAUAUGGCAGUAGCACUUCAUAAUACGCCGACGCUGUCGACGAAACAGCGAAAUCUCGCAGAGUAUAUUUCAGGUUUUUCUGAUGGAGAAGGAUGCUUUUCAGUAUCAUUCUCCAGACGGGACAAAUUUCUGAUCGGGUGGGAGACGAAACCAAGUUUCUGUGUGGGUCAAAACCAUGACAGAGCGGAAGUUCUCUACCUCAUGCAGAAAUACUUCGGAUGUGGAUUUUUGAGAAGAGAUUAUGCAGACAAAACCCUCAAAUAUGAGGUGCGGAGUUUGAACGACCUCAUUACCAAAGUAAUUCCACAUUUUGAAAAGUUUCCGUUACUCUCAGCAAAACAAAAGGAUUUUCGACUCUUCAAGCAGAUAUGCCUUCUCAUGGAUAGAGAAGUACAUGUGACGCUUACUGGGUUAACGAAAAUAACUUCUCUCGCAUUCAAAAUGAAUGGCAGUGGGAAGAGGAAAUACACUCGCGUUAAGAUUCUCGCAGUUGCCCGUCGUCAGAUGAAGAUAUAGUCAGUGCUCCUAGAAAUAGGGGAAUCAAACGAAG
Molecule: ribosomal RNA, 3130 nt
Filed under: wastewater metagenome
Description: bacterial LSU rRNA
Rfam family: Bacterial large subunit ribosomal RNA (bases 5-2256)
Source: RNAcentral